AUCGAGCUGUUGUUGGCCAACCAUAGAAGAGACCUCUCUGUCAUCCCCAUAGUAGGCCCUGGGGGCGUCGGCAAGACCGCUCUCGCCCGUCUCGUCUACGACGACGCCACCAUUAGAGACCACUUCGAUGCCCGAGGUUGGGUAUAUCUGUCAGAAGAUUUCGAUCUUAUCAGACUAAUAUCAGCAAUUGUUGUCUCAGUAACAAACAUGAAACAUAUUGAUGUUGAACAAGAUCACGGGAAACCCUUGAAGUGCCAGAUAUUGAGAGGGAAGAGAUUCCUGUUAGUGCUAGAUAAUGUUCAGAAUGAGAACCAAACCCUUUGGAAUUCCUUGAGAGCCCUAUUAAGUGUAGGUCUUGAAGGCAGUGCAAUUGUAGCGACGACUCGUUGUGAAUCAGUUGCCAAGUUCAUGCAGACGGUGCUGUCCUACAACCUCAUCCCAUUACCUGAAGAGGAGUGUCAAUCGUUGUUUGAACAUCAUGCGUUUGGAAGCCAAAAUCUUACUGAUAACCUAAAUUUAGUUGCUAUUGGGAAGAGGCUCACAAAAAGACUCAAAGGCAUGCCAUUGGCCGCUAAGAUGAUCGGUAAACUUCUAUGCACUGAGAAAAAUGAGGAGAAAUGGCAUGCCAUCUUGCAGAGUGGUGUUUGGGAAUCCACUGGUUUGGAUGGUGUGGUUUCAUCAGCUCUUAGACUAAGCUACUAUGGUUUGCCUACAUGUUUGAGGGUAUGUUUCACGUACACCGCAUUGUUUCCCAAAGGAUACCUGUUCAAGAAGGAUCGACUGGUUCAGCUGUGGAUGGCCCAGGGUUUUAUCCAACCUAUGGGACGAAAACUCCCAGAAGACAUUGGUGUGGAGUAUUUCGAUGAGUUGUUGAGACGGUCAUUCUUUCAGCAAAUAGGGGCUAAUGAACAUGUGUUUACUGUGCAUGACCUAAUUCAUGAUCUUGUGCAAACUAUUGCAAGCAAGGAAAUAUUUAGGAUAAAGAACGAGAAUUUUAGCUUUGUUACCUCAGAAGCAAGACAUUUAUCGUUGUGUCCUGAAGAACUUGGGCCAUUCAUUCGCUCCUGCAACAGACCCAGGGUUUUACGAACCUUUCUAAUUGUGCAUAGAGUAUUAGAUACUUGUGAUGUUGACUAUGUGUGGAGCAAAGCUUGCUCACCUUUGAGUAUGCCGAAUGACCUUUUUGUUGGCUUGAAGUUCUUGCGCACUCUGGAUCUGAGUGAAACCCCUAUUGUAAGUUUGCCAGAAUCAAUUGACAGCGUUAUACAUUUGCGCUACCUUGGUCUCAGACAUACAAAAAUUAGAAGAUUACCUGAAUCUUUGUGUGGCCUUUACAAUCUGCAGACGUUGGACCUGAGAGAUAGUGAGAAACUAGAAGAACUGCCCAAGAGCAUAACAAAUGUCACCAACCUGCGUCAUCUUUAUCUGCCAAGAUAUGUUUCAAUUAUUCCAAUGCCACAGGGAAUUGGAAAGUUGACUAAUCUUCAGACACUAUCAACAUUUUAUGUUGACCAUGGAGAGCAAAACUGUGCAAUAAUGGAGCUGAAGGACUUGGUAAAUCUCAGAGGAAAAUUCGAGAUUGCUGGACUGCACAACGUGGCAAGUGUAGACUAUGUCGAGGAUGCUUUAAAGGAUCUAAGACACAUUGCAAAACUGAUUCUGUCCUCUGGCAUCAAUUAUGACUAUGGGAACCUUGGUGAAUCUGAUUUCAGCCUGUUUGACGGAGUUGUUGAGGAUAACCAAUCAUUAGGCAACGUGCAUGAUGAGCUUCAGACUUCCACAGAAAAUGUUGUACAAGUCUCAGCACCUAAAGAAAUAUGUAAUGGUUUGGAGACGACUGUUUUUGACAGACUUCGUCCUCAUACAAAUCUGAUGGAGCUGGUUGUGCGUUCUUACCACAGUUUGCAAUUUCCCAACUGGAUGGGCGAUGCUUCCUUUUCCAAUUUAGCCUCUGUUGAAC
Molecule: long non-coding RNA, 1960 nt
Filed under: Musa acuminata (dwarf banana)
Lineage: Eukaryota; Viridiplantae; Streptophyta; Magnoliopsida; Zingiberales; Musaceae
Description: long non-coding RNA (MACU_LNC003608)
Source: RNAcentral